AUGGUUUACGGAAGUGUGGAUUCGGUAACGACAGAAGUGAUUGGGUGUUGGACCGGUAGGCAUAGGCGGAGGAACUGUGAUGGUAGUGGGGAGUUGAGGUCUACGGUUGAGGGCAGAACAAGAAGGGAGAAAGAUGGAUUUUACGCUGCUUUGUUUGGGAAUGAUAGCAGUAUGCAGGUUUUACUGAUGCAGGUAACAGGUUUUACCUUGGCCAUGGCUUAUGCGUGUUUGAGUUCUAAAGCAGGUGGGCAGGUUUUGGCUUGCAAGUUAUGCUUAAGCUUUUUGUUUUAUCAGCUUGGAUGGGUUUUGAUAAUAAUCUUGGUCCAGAUCCCUUGCCGGUUAUAUCUUCCUUUUGAAGGGAUUUCAAAUAUAGCCGUUGCUCCUUUCUUUUGGCUCAGGUUUUGA
Vicia faba (fava bean) is the source of this 405-nucleotide non-coding RNA. The record is from the annotation of a GenBank genome assembly. Lineage: Eukaryota; Viridiplantae; Streptophyta; Magnoliopsida; Fabales; Fabaceae.